Molecule: long non-coding RNA, 591 nt
Filed under: Dromaius novaehollandiae (emu)
Lineage: Eukaryota; Metazoa; Chordata; Aves; Casuariiformes; Dromaiidae
Description: lncRNA (ENSDNVG00000007204.1)
Source: RNAcentral
CCCCAGCGAAGGGAAACAAAACAAAACGCCGGCACCGCCGCGCUCUCCCUCCUUCUCCUCCUGGCAUUUGGUGGUGGUUUUUUUUUCUUGGGGACUCUCCUUUCUCCUGCCAGACUGACUUGCACCUUCUCGAUUAUUUCUCUUCCCCUCGUUUUUUUAUACUCUUCUCCCUGCUUCCAAACCCUGUGUCUGUGUGUUUUAAUACUAUCACAACCUCUGCUAAAAAUAGAUCUUUUUAUAUACCCUUCCUCCUCUCUGAUCCCAUCCAACACCCCUUGUUAAGGAGAAUUGUAUUCCAGACAAAUACAAGGAAGUUGAACUCCAGACUGAACUCUUUGGUAUCCUGGGUGUAUGCUCAAAGCUAUGGUGUAGCCAGACCAGAGUGAAUUCCAUGAGGCGGACUAUUUCUGAAGGAUCUGAUCUAUGAAGACCUGCUAGCAAGAACAGUACUUCCCAGGGAAAAUAUACCAGCUACUUGUGUGUUGCAGUCAAAGGUAACCCUGUGUUUGGAAAUGUGAAAUGCAAGUUUUACUGGAAUAGAAACAUAGUAUUUUUGCUGGAAUGUGAAUACUUUGAGAGGGAAAAAAAAAC